RNAcentral lists this ribosomal RNA (669 nucleotides) under uncultured Lachnospiraceae bacterium. RNAcentral describes it as "partial 16S ribosomal RNA". It matches the Rfam family "Bacterial small subunit ribosomal RNA", at positions 28 to 689 of the family's 1533-position model. Lineage: Bacteria; Bacillati; Bacillota; Clostridia; Lachnospirales; Lachnospiraceae. The record is from RNAcentral.
AUUGAACGCUGGCGGCAGGCCUAACACAUGCAAGUCGAGCGGUAGAGAGAAGCUUGCUUCUCUUGAGAGCGGCGGACGGGUGAGUAAUGCCUAGGAAUCUGCCUGGCAGUGGGGGAUAACGUUCAGAAACGGACGCUAAUACCCCAUUCGUACUACGGGAGAAAGCAGGGGACCUUCGGGUCUUGCGCUAUCAGAUGAGCCUAGGUCGGAUUAGCUAUUUGGUGAGGAAAUGGCUCACCAAGGCUACCAUCCGUGACUGGUCUGAGAGGAUGAUCACUUACUCUGGAACUGAGACACGGACCAUACUCCUUCGGGAGGCAGCCCUUGGGAAUAUUGUACAAUGGGUUAAAGCCUGAUCAACCUCUGCCGCGUGUGUGAAUAAGGGGUUCGGAUUGUAAAGCAUUGUACAUUUUGAGGAAGGGGAGUCCCCCACAACGUGUUUUGUUUUGUUUUUUCUCACAGAAUAAAAAACGUUCCUCUCUGUCCCCCCAGCCCCUGUUGCCAGGGGGGGCAUUUAUUUAUCCAAAUUUCUGUGGCGUACAGCGCCCCUAUGUGGGGUUGUAAGGUGAAUGGAUCCCGCGCCUGCUCUGACAGGGGGAUUGUUUUUUUAACUUCCUUUCUAAAUAUGGUCCCGGCGGUGUGAAUUUUCUUGUUUGGGGUGUGCAAGCU